Molecule: ribosomal RNA, 1316 nt
Filed under: Grimothea gregaria
Lineage: Eukaryota; Metazoa; Arthropoda; Malacostraca; Decapoda; Munididae
Description: SSU rRNA
Rfam family: Eukaryotic small subunit ribosomal RNA
Source: RNAcentral
UCAAAGAUUAAGCCAUGCAUGUGUCAGUACAAGCUAAACUAAAGUGAAACCGCGAAAGGCUCAUUAAAUCAGCUAUGAUUCAUUGGAUCUGUACACCCAGUUUUCCUUGGAUAACUGUGGUAAUUCUAGAGCUAAUACAUGCACAUAUAGUCCCUGACCUUACGGGAAGGGCGCUUUUAUUAGUAUCUCAAAACCGGUCAUCGGGCUUCGGUCCGUAAACCAACCUGUGAUGACUCUGGAUAACUUUUAGCUGAGCGCACGGUCUUAUGCACUGGCGCCGCUUCUUUCAAGUGUCUGCCUUAUCAGCUUUCGAUUGUAAGUUAUGUGCUUACAAUGGCUAUAACGGGUAACGGGGAAUCAGGGUUCGAUUCCGGAGAGGGAGCCUGAGAAACGGCUACCACAUCUAAGGAAGGCAGCAGGCACGCAAAUUACCCACUCCCGGCACGGGGAGGUAGUGACGAAAAAUAAUGAUGCGAGACUCAUCCGAGGCCUUGCAAUCAGAAUGAGUACACUUUAAAUCCUUUAACGAGGACCCAUUGGAGGGCAAGUCUGGUGCCAGCAGCCGCGGUAAUUCCAGCUCCAAUAGCAUAUAUUAAAGUUGUUGUGGUUAAAAAGCUCAUAGUUGGAUUACAGUUCUGGACUGAUGGUAUAUACACCUAUUGGUGCUUACUAUCACGCUCCUAAACAAGCUCACUUUGUUGAGCCCCACUAGCUCACACGGGGUGCUCUUGAUCGAGUGUCCCGAGUGGCUGGUAUGUUUACUUUGAAAAAAUUAGAGUGCUCAGAGCAGGCUCCUAUUAUGGCCUGAAUGCUUAUGCAUGGAAUAAUGAAAUAAGACCUCGAUUCCAUUUUGUCUGGUUUUUAUGGAAUUGGAGGUAAUGACUAAUAGAGACAAACGGGGGCAUUUGUAUUGCGACGCUAGAGGUGAAAUUCUUGGACCGUCGCAAGACAAACAACUGCGAAAGCAUUUGCCAAGGAUGUUUUCAUUAAUCAAGAACGAAAGUUAGAGGUUCGAAGGCGAUCAGAUACCGCCCUAGUUCUAACCAUAAACGAUGCUAACCAGCAAUCCGCCGGCGUUAUUCCCAUGACCCGGCGGGCAGCUUCCGGGAAACCAAAGUCUUUGAGUUCCAGGGGAAGUAUGGUUGCAAAGCUGAAACUUAAAGGAAUUGACGGAAGGGCACCACCAGGAGUGGAGCCUGUGGCUUAAUUUGACUCAACACGGGAAACCUCACCAGGCCCAGACACUGGAAGGAUUGACAGAUUGAGAGCUCUUUCUCGAUUCAGUGGGUGGUGGUGCAUGGCCGUUCUUAGUUGGU